AGUGAACGCUGGCGGUAGGCCUAACACAUGCAAGUCGAACGGCAGCACAGUAAGAGCUUGCUCUUACGGGUGGCGAGUGGCGGACGGGUGAGGAAUACAUCGGAAUCUACUUUUUCGUGGGGGAUAACGUAGGGAAACUUACGCUAAUACCGCAUACGACCUACGGGUGAAAGCAGGGGAUCUUCGGACCUUGCGCGAUUGAAUGAGCCGAUGUCGGAUUAGCUAGUUGGCGGGGUAAAGGCCCACCAAGGCGACGAUCCGUAGCUGGUCUGAGAGGAUGAACGCACAAAGUGGAACUGAAAAGGGGCCAGGACCCUGAGGGGGGGCAGAGGGGGGAAAUAUGGGAGAAGGGGGGCAGGCUGGAUCAAGCUAUACGGGGGGGGGAAAGAAGGCUUUGGGGUGUAAAGCUCUUUUGGUGGGAAAAAAAAAGCAGAAGUUGAAUACCCCGUUGUUGGGACGGAACCAAACGAAGAAGACCCGGAUAACUUCGUG
Molecule: ribosomal RNA, 492 nt
Filed under: uncultured bacterium
Lineage: Bacteria
Description: partial 16S ribosomal RNA
Rfam family: Bacterial small subunit ribosomal RNA
Source: RNAcentral